This 921-nucleotide ribosomal RNA is filed under the name uncultured Desulfobulbaceae bacterium. Its description in RNAcentral is "bacterial SSU rRNA". It matches the Rfam family "Bacterial small subunit ribosomal RNA", at positions 55 to 975 of the family's 1533-position model. Lineage: Bacteria; Pseudomonadati; Thermodesulfobacteriota; Desulfobulbia; Desulfobulbales; Desulfobulbaceae. The record is from RNAcentral.
AUGCAGUCGUACGAGAACGUUUCCUUCGGGAAACGAGUAGAGUGGCGCACGGGUGAGUAACGCGUAGGUAAUCUACCCUUAUAUUUGGGAUAACAUUGGGAAACUGGUGCUAAUACCGGAUGGUCUUUUUCUAAUGCGAGUUAGAGAGAGUAAAGGUGGCCUCUUCCUGAAAGCUACCGUAUAGGGAUGAGCCUGCGUACCAUUAGCUAGUAGGUGGGGUAACGGCCCACCUAGGCAACGAUGGUUAGCGGGUCUGAGAGGAUGAUCCGCCACACUGGAACUGGAACACGGACCAGACUCCUACGGGAGGCAGCAGUGAGGAAUAUUGCGCAAUGGGGGCAACCCUGACGCAGCGACGCCGCGUGAGUGAGGAAGGUUUUCGGAUCGUAAAGCUCUGUCAGAAGGGAAGAAAUGCUAUAUGGUUAACACCCAUAUAGUUUGACGGUACCUUCAGAGGAAGCACCGGCUAACUCCGUGCCAGCAGCCGCGGUAAUACGGAGGGUGCGAGCGUUGUUCGGAAUUACUGGGCGUAAAGGGCGCGUAGGCGGCUUGAUAAGUCAGAUGUGAAAGUCCACGGCUCAACCGUGGAAGUGCAUUUGAAACUGUCUGGCUUGAGUAUUGGAGGGGAAAGUGGAAUUCCCGGUGUAGAGGUGAAAUUCGUAGAGAUCGGGAGGAACACCUGUGGCGAAAGCGACUUUCUGGACAAAUACUGACGCUGAGCGCGAAAGCGUGGGGAGCAAACAGAUUAGAUACCCUGGUAGUCCACGCCGUAACGAUGAGAACUAGAGGUAGGGGGUGUUGAUCCCUCCUGUCUCGCAGCAACGCAUUAAGUUCUCGCUGGGGAGUACGUCGCAGAUUAACUCAAGAUUGACGGGGCCGCACAAGCGUGAGUAUGUGUUAUCGACGCACGCGAGAUCUACU